AUGACACCACAACUUCACAUACGUCGCCAUCUCUUUACUUUCCUAUAGUUAUCUUCUAGACUGUGUCUUCUCCUUAUCUCCAGUUUUCAUUCUGUAUUUUUUUUCUUUUUAGUAAGAGGAAAUAACUCUACAUUCAAAUUUGAGCAGGGCACUUGGUGACCUACUUAGACAUGACAUUCCUUGGCCUCCCUUUCAGCAAGAUGAGAAAACUGAGGCACAGAGAGGUGAAAUAAGGCCCCCAGAAUGCUCUUCUCCAAGACUUAGAAAAAUCAAAUGCUAUCCAUCCCUCAAGAUACAUCCCUCCAGCCCCUCCUUGAAGUCUCCUGCAGCUAGAAGUAGAAGUAGCAUCUAUCCCCAUCUGGACUCCUUAGCACUUUGCUGUACCUGCCUUAGUCCCCAUCUCUUUACACACACACACACACACACACACACACACACAGAGUAUUAUAAUACUAUUACCUAUUAUAUUACAUUAUAUUAUUGUAGUUCUACAGGAACUACAAGGAAUUCUACUGUGAAUUCCUUAAGGGUGGGAUACAUUUUACAAUCAUCACUGUUUCUCUCAUUAGUUGUGGAAUCAAAAAAAUGAGUGCACGAUGAAAAAUUAUUCAAACACAUACAUGCUUUCAUUCCAAUUGAAAAUGUAAAAAUAUUACUGUUAAAACAAUAUUAAAGGACAUGUAAUACAAUUCAAAUAUUCCUACCAUGCACGAUUGUUUUCACUUCUUUGUGCCUCUUUCACCAUUUAUUUGUGUGCAUACUCAGCAUAUUUGUUUGUGUAACAGGAUGUUAAAAAUAGAAUUUGUUGCCUGUAGUUUUUGCUAAAGCUCUACUAGACUGGAACAGAACAAUAGGUGGUAAAUACUCCAUUCCUCAGUGAGAUGCUACCUACCUAUGCAGAGCUGGAAAAGAUUUUGCAACCUGAAAACCCAAUCCUUUCUGAGAUAUAAAAGAACAGAAGAGUCUGGAAGUGAUUUCUUCGGAGAAAUUCAUUUUCUGUGAGUCUCACUCCUAAUCCCCUAUGAGAUAUCUGGGGGUGAAGGGCAGGUGCUGUUCCACACAGAGAGCUUGAUCCGUGCAUCUUGGAAGAGGGAGGUAGGUAGGGAACAGGGUGGGCUGCUUUGGGACCCAUGCCUUAAAACUCAGGUACUGGGGCUGGCUGGUUCUAAUGGCCAAGAGGUGAGAGGUGCACCUGUGGGGAACAACCUUCACUCUCAGUUUGUCAGGAUAGAGGAUAUGAGUCUUGCCCUGAGGAUGGGAUGUAGACUACAAGGGCAAGAGAGUCAGCUUAAAGAAAUCUGUAGAACUAUCUGCCAGGACUGAGGUGACCAUAGCAGAGAGAUGUUGGAGGUAUUCUGUUGGGAACAAGAUGGUGUGAGGUAAAGAUUGUAUUUGAUACCUGCUGGAGAAGAGAUCUUGCAUUAAGGCCAGCAUUAAGAGAACUUCAGAUGAGAAAUCCCUGGUGAAGCAGAGUCUCCAAAGAAUGCAUAAGAGCUCUGCAGUGAGAAAGAGAUCACCUGAAUACCUUCCAAAAUCAAAGCGUGGCAGUGACCAGCUAAGCAGAUCUUUCCUGUCUUCUACCUGGAAGGGCCUGAAACUGCAAUUCAUGAGUUUGGGGAAGGCAGAGAGGCACAAAGUGGGGAAAUGGAAAAGUUGACUAUGUCCGCUUUCCUACUGCAGUAUUCCAGAGAAGAAACUUCAAGCUCAGAAUAUUGGCUACUACCUGUGAUAAACAUUUAAAUUAUUGGAACGAGAGAGUUUUUAUAACUAAAUUUGAAAGAAGCAAUUUUUUUUAUCAAAGACCAACCCGAAGAUUCAUGACCACUACCUGUGAUUUCAUCCAUGUUGCAAGGAAAAUCCUGCCCCACUUCCCCAAUAGGAAGAGUGGUGGGGGAAUAAUAAAGUUGUUUUAUGAUGCAUCCUGUGGACUUCUACUCGACAGAAUGGUAACAUUCAACUGUAAUCAGGAUGAGCAAGCCACUUUAUUAAACUAAAAUUUUAAACUUUAAUAAAUAUAAUACAAACUGAAAAAUAAAAAUAAUUUUUCAACUCUACACAAGUAUGUUAACUGCAUAAACAGUGAGAUGUUACACAGGGCUGAGGCCUAUACUUCUUCAGUUUGUACAUUAAACGUCUCCAUGGAGGGUCAAUUGCAUCCUACCUAUUCUGACAGUUAUCAGGUAGCGAGAGAUUUGAGGAAGAGGCGCUUUUCUAAUCUGGGGUAGGAAAAGGAAUGAUACCAUGUAUCAUGAGAAGUAUUUGCACAUAGUGUGUCAAUUAAGCAAGUGCUCAGACUAUUAACAACAUUACUAUGUGAUGAAUGUUUAUACAGUGGAUUCAAAAAUAAGCUUCUUUCCAGAAAGCAGCUUAGUUUUCAUUAAUUAUUACCAGCAUCUUGGUAAUUAUUUAUUUAAUGGUUUAAAAGUUAAAGUUUCAAUCUAUAUUUGUUUUUUUAACAUCAGCCAAGGAAAUACAUGUCUGUUAUACUGCAUCUUUGGAAGUAUGCAAUAAGUGUAACUAUUGAAUCUAUAUUGAAGAGCCACAAGACACUGAAUUUAAUUGGACGAGACUAUUUUAUUUAGGAAGACAAUCAUCUCCUGUGAUCAGCUUAAGGUUUUUGUUUUGUUUUAUCUGGAACAAGCUAAGUUCAUAUUUAGAAAAUAAAGUUAGUUUUUUGGGUGCAUGAGUUUUAGAGUAAAUUAGUAAUUUAGUAAACUUUGACAUUUCCACUUUGUCUCCAAACACAUUUAAAUUCUAUCUGUCUGACUGAAGUUCUAAGGCAUUCUGUGGUUACUUAGAAAUGAUUCCUUAUAUUAAUGUUUACAAAUGCUAAAUUGUAUUUGUUAAAUACAUGUCUUAUUGCCUAAGAGUUUUCCUUUCUUAUAAGUUUAAUAUAAAUGUCUAGGAAAUAAGACUCCCAUUUAAUAGCUUAUAAAGAAUGCUGAUGUAUCAGCAGUGGCCUUGACAUUAUUGGAUACAAGUAAGAUCUACACUGAUGAUUAAAUCAAAUUGGCUAAGAUUAUUCGUUCUAAUAAAAGCACUGACUCCAUGAAGUUUUCUUGUGGCUGAAAUUAACAUUCGUGUUCCUACAAGCUCUUUAAAAUCUUAGUUACUGAAAAUUAUUCCUUUUGACCUAAUUUUUUCUUUACUUUGGAUGUAUUUGACAAGGU
Molecule: long non-coding RNA, 3170 nt
Filed under: Homo sapiens (human)
Lineage: Eukaryota; Metazoa; Chordata; Mammalia; Primates; Hominidae
Description: non-protein coding lnc-COL28A1-1:23
Source: RNAcentral